This 76-nucleotide transfer RNA is filed under the name Verrucomicrobiota bacterium. RNAcentral describes it as "Verrucomicrobia bacterium (groundwater metagenome) tRNA-Lys". It matches the Rfam family "tRNA". From Rfam's summary of the family: Transfer RNA (tRNA) molecules are approximately 80 nucleotides in length. Their secondary structure includes four short double-helical elements and three loops (D, anti-codon, and T loops). Lineage: Bacteria; Pseudomonadati; Verrucomicrobiota. The record is from RNAcentral. RNAcentral also lists the same sequence under 1 other name.
GGAGGCUUAGCUCAGUUGGUAGAGCAGCUGACUCUUAAUCAGCGGGUCGGGGGUUCGAGCCCCCCAGCCUCUACCA